GCCUGGGUGGCUUAGUCAGUUGAGCGUCCAACUUUGGCCCAGGUCACAGUCCGUGGGUUCGAGCCCCGCCUCGGGCU
RNAcentral lists this transfer RNA (77 nucleotides) under Felis catus (domestic cat). It matches the Rfam family "tRNA". From Rfam's summary of the family: Transfer RNA (tRNA) molecules are approximately 80 nucleotides in length. Lineage: Eukaryota; Metazoa; Chordata; Mammalia; Carnivora; Felidae. The record is from Rfam by way of RNAcentral.